GAUGAACGCUGGCGGCGUGCCUAAUACAUGCAAGUAGAACGCUGAAGCUUGGUGCUUGCACCGAGCGGAUGAGUUGCGAACGGGUGAGUAACGCGUAGGUAACCUGCCUCUUAGCGGGGGAUAACUAUUGGAAACGAUAGCUAAUACCGCAUAAAAGUCGAUAUCGCAUGAUAUUGAUUUGAAAGGUGCAAUUGCAUCACUAAGAGAUGGACCUGCGUUGUAUUAGCUAGUUGGUGAGGUAACGGCUCACCAAGGCGACGAUACAUAGCCGACCUGAGAGGGUGAUCGGCCACACUGGGACUGAGACACGGCCCAGACUCCUACGGGAGGCAGCAGUAGGGAAUCUUCGGCAAUGGGGGCAACCCUGACCGAGCAACGCCGCGUGAGUGAAGAAGGUUUUCGGAUCGUAAAGCUCUGUUGUAAGAGAAGAACGAGUGUGAGAGUGGAAAGUUC
Molecule: ribosomal RNA, 453 nt
Filed under: Streptococcus parasanguinis
Lineage: Bacteria; Bacillati; Bacillota; Bacilli; Lactobacillales; Streptococcaceae
Description: bacterial SSU rRNA
Rfam family: Bacterial small subunit ribosomal RNA
Source: RNAcentral